GACGAACGCUGGCGGCGUGCCUAAUACAUGCAAGUAGAACGCUGAAGAGAGGAGCUUGCUCUUCUUGGAUGAGUUGCGCACGGGUGAGUAACGCGUAGGUAACCUGCCUUGUAGCGGGGGAUAACUAUUGGAAACGAUAGCUAAUACCGCAUAACAAUGGAUGACACAUGUCAUUUAUUUGAAAGGGGCAAUUGCUCCACUACAAGAUGGACCUGCGUUGUAUUAGCUAGUAGGUGAGGUAAUGGCUCACCUAGGCGACGAUACAUAGCCGACCUGAGAGGGUGAUCGGCCACACUGGGACUGAGACACGGCCCAGACUCCUACGGGAGGCAGCAGUAGGGAAUCUUCGGCAAUAGGGGCAACCCUGACCGAGCAACGCCGCGUGAGGGAAGAAGGUUUUCGGAUCGUAAAGCUCGGUUGUAAGUCAAGAACGGGUGUGAGAGUGGAAAGUUCACACUGUGACGGUAGCUUACCAGAAAGGGACGGCUAACUACGUG
Molecule: ribosomal RNA, 497 nt
Filed under: uncultured bacterium
Lineage: Bacteria
Description: partial 16S ribosomal RNA
Rfam family: Bacterial small subunit ribosomal RNA
Source: RNAcentral